Molecule: ribosomal RNA, 253 nt
Filed under: uncultured bacterium
Lineage: Bacteria
Description: partial 16S ribosomal RNA
Rfam family: Bacterial small subunit ribosomal RNA
Source: RNAcentral
UACGAAGGGGGCUAGCGUUGUUCGGAAUUACUGGGCGUAAAGCGCGCGCAGGCGGCUAUCCAAGUCAGUGGUGAAAGCCCGGAGCUCAACUCCGGAACUGCCAUUGAAACUGUUGGACUUGAGUACGAGAGAGGUGAGUGGAAUUCCCAGUGUAGAGGUGAAAUUCGUAGAUAUUGGGAAGAACACCGGUGGCGAAGGCGGCUCACUGGCUCGUAACUGACGCUCAGGUGCGACAGCGUGGGGAUCAAACAGG